GUGCUCGCUUCGGCAGCACAUUCGCUAAAAUUGGAAGGAGACAGAGAAGAUCAGCGUGGCCCCUGCGUAAGGAUGACACGCAAAUGCUUGAAGCGUUCCAUACAUUU
Molecule: small nuclear RNA, 107 nt
Organism: Sorex fumeus (smoky shrew)
Lineage: Eukaryota; Metazoa; Chordata; Mammalia; Eulipotyphla; Soricidae
Source: RefSeq, a predicted model, not a curated record